Molecule: ribosomal RNA, 253 nt
Filed under: uncultured Lactobacillus sp.
Lineage: Bacteria; Bacillati; Bacillota; Bacilli; Lactobacillales; Lactobacillaceae
Description: partial 16S ribosomal RNA
Rfam family: Bacterial small subunit ribosomal RNA
Source: RNAcentral
UAUAGCCCGAGUUGAGAGACUGAUCGGCCACAUUGGGACUGAGACACGGCCCAAACUCCUACGGGAGGCAGCAGUAGGGAAUCUUCCACAAUGGACGCAAGUCUGAUGGAGCAACGCCGCGUGAGUGAAGAAGGGCUUCGGCUCGUAAAGCUCUGUUGUUGGUGAAGAAGGACAGGGGGUAGUAACUGACCUUUGUUUGACGGUAAUCAAUUAGAAAGUCACGGCUAACUACGUGCCAGCAGCCGCGGUAAAU